Molecule: ribosomal RNA, 1018 nt
Filed under: Cytobacillus horneckiae
Lineage: Bacteria; Bacillati; Bacillota; Bacilli; Caryophanales; Bacillaceae
Description: bacterial SSU rRNA
Rfam family: Bacterial small subunit ribosomal RNA
Source: RNAcentral
GGGAAACACCCCUCCCCUGAGGCGGUCUAUAAUGCAGUCGAGCGGAUCUUUGGGACUUUGCUUCCCAAAGAUUAGCGGCGGACGGGUGAGUAACACGUGGGCAACCUGCCUGUAAGACUGGGAUAACUCCGGGAAACCGGGGCUAAUACCGGAUAAUUCAUUUCCUCUCAUGAGGGAAUGCUGAAAGACGGUUUCGGCUGUCACUUACAGAUGGGCCCGCGGCGCAUUAGCUAGUUGGUGAGGUAACGGCUCACCAAGGCAACGAUGCGUAGCCGACCUGAGAGGGUGAUCGGCCACACUGGGACUGAGACACGGCCCAGACUCCUACGGGAGGCAGCAGUAGGGAAUCUUCCGCAAUGGACGAAAGUCUGACGGAGCAACGCCGCGUGAGCGAUGAAGGCCUUCGGGUCGUAAAGCUCUGUUGUUAGGGAAGAACAAGUAUCGGAGUAACUGCCGGUACCUUGACGGUACCUAACCAGAAAGCCACGGCUAACUACGUGCCAGCAGCCGCGGUAAUACGUAGGUGGCAAGCGUUGUCCGGAAUUAUUGGGCGUAAAGCGCGCGCAGGUGGUUCCUUAAGUCUGAUGUGAAAGCCCACGGCUCAACCGUGGAGGGUCAUUGGAAACUGGGGAACUUGAGUGCAGAAGAGGAAAGUGGAAUUCCACGUGUAGCGGUGAAAUGCGUAGAGAUGUGGAGGAACACCAGUGGCGAAGGCGACUUUCUGGUCUGUAACUGACACUGAGGCGCGAAAGCGUGCGGAGCGAACAGGAUUAGAUACCCUGGUAGUCCACGCCGUAAACGAUGAGUGCUAAGUGUUAGAGGGUUUCCGCCCUUUAGUGCUGCAGCAAACGCAUUAAGCACUCCGCCUGGGGAGUACGGCCGCAAGGCUGAAACUCAAAGGAAUUGACGGGGCCCGCACAAGCGGUGGAGCAUGUGGUUUAAUUCGAAGCAACGCGAGAACCUUACCAGGUCUUGACAUCCUCUGACAACUCUAGAGACAGGAGCGUUCCCCUUCAGA